CAGUAGCCGCGGUAAUACGAAGGGGGCUAGCGUUGUUCGGAAUUACUGGGCGUAAAGGGCGCGUAGGCGGCCAUUCAAGUUAGAUGUGAAAGCCCUGGGCUCAACCUAGGAAUUGCAUUUGAUACUGUUUGGCUUGAGUUCGGGAGAGGUGAGUGGAAUUCCCAGUGUAGAGGUGAAAUUCGUAGAGAUCGGGAGGAACAUCAGUGGCGAAGGCGGCCAUCUGGGACAACACUGACGCUGAGGCACGAAAGCGUGGGGAGCAAACAGGAUUAGAGACCCGAGUAGUCCCUGUCUCUUAUAC
Molecule: ribosomal RNA, 301 nt
Filed under: uncultured bacterium
Lineage: Bacteria
Description: partial 16S ribosomal RNA
Rfam family: Bacterial small subunit ribosomal RNA
Source: RNAcentral